CUUCAUGUUUAAGAAGAAAUUUAAUUUGAAAGCAAGGAAUGACCACCCUGGCAGACUGGCCUCUCAGAGCUAGAGUUGCUACCUGUGCACUUCUUGAAACUUUACUUGCUCGGUGGAAACCUUGCUUCAGUAGAUCUGGGCUGAAGGCUAUUGGUGUGCUGACAACAUCCUACCCCUGCAAUAUUAAGCCUUGGAGCCUAACCCCCAGUUAUGCAGAGAUCCAGAAUGAUAAGUUUGGAUACCAGAUCAUGAUCAUGCUGGGGCAAGGGGUGGUCUCCCUCAAGUCAUGCAGCUUAACAGCCCAAGGGCCAGCCUGGCUCCUUUUUCAGAACACAAUGAACAGAACAACUCUUCUUAACACCUGCAUGCUAACCAAGAUGUGAUCUGUGGGGGAACUGCAAGCCUAUUACUGCUGCCACUGUUUUCCAGCCAUAGGGUGUACCUGUCAGGGUAUAAAUGAGUGUAAAAACAAUACAACAUUUCUUUUUUUGGCUUAAAACAUUUGCAACAAUCAAUCCCAACUGCAAAGAAUGGGCACACUCAAAUUGGUGUAAUUCAAAGAGGCCUUAUUUAUGAAAGGAUUAUUACAGAAGACAUUGUCAGGUGUCGGGGAAACCUGGGGGACAGCGCAGAAACCUCUGGCCAGGAACAGGGAGCUAUCCCCACUCUAGAUCUAGAGGGGCAAAGGCUGGCAGAAGUUAGAAUCCCAUAGUGCGGGUUUCUUCAAGAAGAACCGAGACUUCUGUCAAGGCACCUUGAACCCUAGGCCUCUCAGCAGAAGGAAACCAGGGGAAGAAUACCCCGGCCUCAUUCUCCACCCCACCUCCACCCUGGGAGGUGAAUCCAAGUGGAAGCUUAGAAAGGGUUGCCUGAGGCUGAGAGCUUGGUGGAGAAGGGAAGAGAGUGGAUCUGAAGGUACUAACACAUGGUCGCCUCAAACAUUCUCCCUCCAACUAUAAUAUUUAUGAGAAAUUUCCACUAGUGGAGACAGCAUUGAUAUAUCAAGGCAGGAAAAACAAACUACAAGAAAUUAUGCAUUGGUAAUCCUGACUGGAAUUCUUUUCCUGACUUCCUUGUGGGUUUCUUUAUUGCUUUGGCUUUGAGCACCCACCCUGAGUAUGACCAACAGUAGGCCGGACAAAUGAUGUUACAUUCAUUCAAAUGAAGCCUAUACAUGGAUGAAAGACAGCCAUAUGCCAUAUGUAGCAACAACAAGAAUUGUCAUAGACAUGAUACUGAACACAUAAAUCAGACAGAAAAGAGCACACUUUGUAUGAUUUCCAUUAUAUAAAUUCAGGAAAAAUAAAGCAAUAGUAAAUAGAGAUCUGAACCAUGGAUACUUUUGGGGGAGGGGCAUCUUAACUAAGACAAGAGCAAGAUGAAUCUUGCUGGAGUCCGAAAACCUCUUAAGCAGGUGAUGGUUAUAUGAAUGUAUACAUCUGUAAAAGUACAUGUAAAAUUUAGCUUUAAGAUUUGUGCAUUUUACUUAUGUAAGUUGUAUUUUAAUAAAAUGUUCCUUUAAUAAC
RNAcentral lists this long non-coding RNA (1526 nucleotides) under Marmota monax (woodchuck). Lineage: Eukaryota; Metazoa; Chordata; Mammalia; Rodentia; Sciuridae. The record is from RNAcentral.